This 405-nucleotide ribosomal RNA is filed under the name uncultured bacterium. RNAcentral's name for it is "bacterial SSU rRNA". It matches the Rfam family "Bacterial small subunit ribosomal RNA", at positions 30 to 438 of the family's 1533-position model. The record is from RNAcentral.
AUUGAACGCUGGCGGCAGGCUUAACACAUGCAAGUCGAGCGUGAAAGGGUUUCGGCCUGAGUAAAGCGGCGGACGGGUGAGUAACGCGUAGGAAUCUACCUGGUAGUGGGGGAUAACGUUUCGAAAGGAACGCUAAUACCGCAUACGUUCUGAGGAAGAAAGCUGGGGAUCGUAAGACCUGGCGCUUUAGGAUGAGCCCGCGGCCUAUCAGCUAGUUGGUGAGGUAACAGCUCACCAAGGCUAAGACGGGUAGCCGGUCUGAGAGGACGAUCGGCCACACUGGAACUGAGACACGGUCCAGACACCUACGGGUGGCAGCAGUCGAGAAUCUUUCACAAUGGGCGAAAGCCUGAUGGAGCGACGCCGCGUGGGGGAUGAAGGCCUUCGGGUCGUAAACCCCUGUCA